GGACUACCGGGGUAUCUAAUCCUGUUUGCUACCCACGCUUUCGUGCAUCAGCGUCAGAAAUGGUCCAGAAAGCCGUUUACACCACCGGUGUUCCUCCUGAUAUCUACGCAUUUCACCGCUACACCAGGAAUUCCACUUUCCUCUCCCACCCUCUAGCCCGGCAGUCUAUAGCGCACCCUCCCAGUUAAGCCGGGAGAUUUCACACCAUACUUAUCGAGCCGCCUACGCACCCUUUACGCCCAGUAACUCCGAACAACGCUUGCUGCCUACGUAUUACCGCGGCUGCUGGCAC
This 292-nucleotide ribosomal RNA is filed under the name uncultured Acidobacteriota bacterium. RNAcentral's name for it is "uncultured Acidobacteria bacterium partial 16S ribosomal RNA". Lineage: Bacteria; Pseudomonadati; Acidobacteriota. The record is from RNAcentral.